Molecule: long non-coding RNA, 817 nt
Organism: Ornithodoros turicata
Lineage: Eukaryota; Metazoa; Arthropoda; Arachnida; Ixodida; Argasidae
Exons: 5
Source: RefSeq, a predicted model, not a curated record
AGGGAGAGUGUGGGGAAGAAGAAGAACACGAUGGCGAUGGACGCAGAUCUGUCUCACAAUACUGGUAGUGUUGUAAAGUGGACUUCACCUAAUGCACCCGUGCGCUUGGUGAAGCCGACUUGCAGAAUGGUGACGCCUACCAAAACAAUGCCGGACUCGGCACGCAUCGUGAAUAUUUGUGUCAGACUAUUGAGUCAGUACGAUGUUUCAAAUAAAUAUGUAUUUUGUACAAAAUUUGCCUAGUUGUUCUGGAAUAUGGAAUAACGAGCGUCGGGCAUGAAAACCAGUACAAGUAAAAGCCGAUGGUAGCCAGUACCGGGCCGAAAGGCGAGCCAAACUGAGAGACUUCUGAUUGGCCGAAUGGUAGGCAUCAUAGUUCAUUUUCAUUGGUUGCAUGCCCAGUGUUGCCUUGAAUUAUCUCAAACUAUGGGCUCUAGUGGGGAGCUGUGGGAGCCUGCUCCUCGCUGGAUGUCCGUCGAUAUUCACCAGAUUGCAACAAAUGAAAGUCCACUUUUUCUCAGCCCAGGCAACAGCAGCACCAGGUGAAUGUACAAUUCGGAAGCAGGUGUUCCAAAAAUUGAUGCAGUGACAUAAACGGGCAGUCUGGUGUGUAAUGUACACACAUCGUGUGGCGUGUUCGGACUAUCUAAUUGUAUCACCAGUUCCACCUCAACACCGGAGCCGGUAAAUGUGCAUGGAGAGAAGAAAUGCACAAGGCAGCCAAGAGUCAUUUUACUAAAGGCACAGGGACAAAAAGAUAUAAAGAGAGGACACACCAAAGGAAAUGUUCCAUAGAAUCACGAGGUUCCGUCAUGCG